Long non-coding RNA from Cotesia glomerata, 1294 nucleotides. RefSeq lists it as uncharacterized. The transcript is spliced from 4 exons. Lineage: Eukaryota; Metazoa; Arthropoda; Insecta; Hymenoptera; Braconidae. The record is from RefSeq and is a predicted model, not a curated record.
GUGAAUUAUGAGUUAGUCACGAUCUCUCCAAUUAAAUGAGUAGAGUAACAAUUUGGUCGACAGAUACUUUUAAUCCGCUUAAUUCUCGAAUAAAAAAUAAAUUGCUAUAAAAUCAAUUUCAAUAUGUACAUCGCGUUUCACUUUUAUUUCAAUAAUUAUAAUUAUUCAAUUAAUUAAAAAAAUAGUGAUUUUUGCUAAAUAUUUGUGGAUUUCCAAUGUUGAUCAAUUUAUAAUAAUUCAUACUGAAUUUUUCGGCUCGGAAGACAACCUCGGAAGUGACUUAUUUUUAAUUAUCAUCAUUACGGAUUAUCAAUCACAGUUUUAAGUCAAGAAAAAACUUUUAUAAGGCUGUAAAUAAAAUCCGAUAAAAAUUCCGCUCUAAAUUUUCAAAAUAAGUUUCAUAUUCGAUUUUGAUAGAACUCAAGAAUACAAUCAACUAAUUACACCUAUUAAGAAUUCUAUUAAAAACAACAGAGUUUAUUGAGUCAAGGUCUAACAUAGGUAAACGAGUGAAUCAUUGUACAAUUACUAAUUGAAAGUAACCAAUUUGUUCUGGUUUGUGUUCUUGAGAACAAUGUUAAAUAUUUUCUAUAACUUUCAAAACAAAAUAUGUACACUAUUUGAUCUGAUUAAAUUAUGUAAAAAAUGACAUUGAAGUUUUCAGAAAAAAAAAUAAUUAUAGAUUGGAUCUAAUGACAAUAAAAAUUAACACCUUGUAAUUAGAUAAAUACAAAAAAUACAUUUAUGAUUCAUGGUCCUCGAUUAACGAAAUUAGCUGCUUACGUACUCUGUAGAAGAAUAUUAUGAGUAAUAGAAUUGUUUGUUUUAUUUUACCUUAAUUAGAACUUAGUCGUUUAGCCUUCAUUAUUAAAGAGCCAUGCAACAUAAGCAUACUUAAUCUAGUAAACGCAUCCAUUAUUUUUUUUUUCAUACAUUUUCAGUGAAAAUUUAUCCCUAGUUUCAGUUUCUUUGACCAUAUGUUAUAAAAAUUAAUGUAACUAGCUCGUUAGAGUAAUUACAAUACUCGUGUGUGAAUUGUUACACUCGCCUAACGCCUCGUGUACCAAAUUUCGCACUUAUGCUUCAUACUUAUUUGUACUAUAUAGUGAAAAUACUGUUAUAAUUCUAGACAUAUUAAUCUUUAUGAUAUUCAUCAAAAAUUUAUGCGAAAAGAGAAGGAUUAGUUCUUUUAGUUUUUCAGUUCAUAAAUUUCACGAAUAGUUUUAAUAAUAAUAAAAAAGCAGUGCACUUUAUAUUCAAAUGAAUUUAAUAAAAAUAAUGAUUGUUUUUUAUG